Molecule: non-coding RNA, 1523 nt
Organism: Pelodiscus sinensis (Chinese soft-shelled turtle)
Lineage: Eukaryota; Metazoa; Chordata; Testudines; Trionychidae
Source: RefSeq, a predicted model, not a curated record
AUGUCUUUACUGUCUACAGAUUUUCUCCGGGUUGUUGGUAAAUCUCACGAGCAUCAUGUCUUGGCUCUCCUGGUUGCAAUAUUUCAGCAUUCCUCGAUAUGCCAUGACAGCUUUGCAAAUUAAUGAAUUUACUGAUCUGAAAUUUUGCAAUGAUAGCACUAAUACAAGUCCGACGGAUAUGAACUGCACACAACUUAGCCAACCGUUUUGUACUGGAGAAGAAUAUUUGAAAAACCAAGGAAUUGAGGCAACUUCCUGGGGGCUGUGGCAGAAUCAUGUGGCUCUUGCAUGUAUGACAAUAAUUUUCCUUACAAUUUCUUAUCUGAAACUACGCUUCAUGAAAAAGUUAUCUUAAAACAAAGGUAUAAAUGAAUUGGUCAUUCACACUGGGUAGUUUUAUAAGUAAGUAAGUUAGAAAACUGACUUGAUUUUUUUGUUAAUAUUCUUUUGUAUGUUUUAUCUCUUGCCUCAAAAUUUAACAAAGUUAAAAAUCUUCACUGAAAUGCACUGUCCUGAAGUUUAACGUAUGUUUGAAUUUACUUUAUUGUCGUGAAACAUACAAAAGGGUAUUCAUCUCUUCAUUAGACCAGUUGAAAGGCAUUUUUAAAGUAUAUGCUAUUUGUUAAAAUACAGAACAAGUAUGAAAUAGUAAUACUUAAUGACUCCAUCCACAAAGAAAAGGUUCCAUGGUUGCAAAUCAUUGAAGAUAUUCUUAAUUUUGCACAUCCAGAGUGAUCCUCUGAUAGUGGUGCUGAACUAUUUUUAGAGUGAGGGAUCUGAGCUGUGCCACUCCCCAUCACCUGUUGCCACCCCUCAUUGUUCCAGGCUAGAGUCACACCCAGGGUUGCCAGCUCUCCCAGACCUGAUGGACUGGAUGCCAUUGCCACAAAUGGCAUCCAAUUCAUCCAGUCUGGGAUAGCUGGCAACCAAGCCACAGCUAGAGGCAGUUGCAGAGCCUUGGGCUGGCAGUGGGUCCUGAGUGGCAACAGAGCCUGCAGGACUGGCAGCCUGGGCCCUUGGGAUGGCAGGAGGCAUAACCCAUGGGAGUACUGAAGCUAGUGGGGCCACAGAGCCCUGGAGGGGCUGCCCAGAGGCUGGGACAUCUGGGUGAAUGGGAAAGCUGGGUUCAAAACCUGGAGAUGCUGCAGCACCACUGGCGUGUGUACGGGGUAUGCCAUGUGUGCCCAGGCAUACCCUAUUGUCUUAGGGUUGCCUGGUGUCCGGUUUUCUACUGGACAUUCCGUUUUUUUGGGGCUCUGUCUGGUAAAAAAAAAUCCAGAAAAUACCGGACAUGUGCAAUGUCCUGUAUUUUCUGAUUUUUGGACUGGGCACACGAAAACCUGGCAGGGAGAGUAGCUGGGAGGCAGGACGUGAUCAGCGCUGGGAGCCCUGGUUGCAUGUGAGGAAGAGGGGCAACCCAGUCCGUGCUCCUGCACACUGGUCAAGUGUGUGGUGGAGCUGCAGCUGGACUGAAUCGCGCUUCGCCUGGACCAUGCGGGGAAUGGGAGCGCCCUGGGAUCUGC